UGGGGAAUUUUGGACAAUGGGCGAAAGCCUGAUCCAGCAAUGCCGCGUGUGUGAAGAAGGCCUUCGGGUUGUAAAGCACUUUUGUCCGGAAAGAAAUCCUUGGCUCUAAUACAGUCGGGGGAUGACGGUACCGGAAGAAUAAGCACCGGCUAACUACGUGCCAGCAGCCGCGGUAAUACGUAGGGUGCAAGCGUUAAUCGGAAUUACUGGGCGUAAAGCGUGCGCAGGCGGUUUGCUAAGACCGAUGUGAAAUCCCCGGGCUCAACCUGGGAACUGCAUUGGUGACUGGCAGGCUAGAGUAUGGCAGAGGGGGGUAGGAAUUCCACGUGUAGCAGUGAAAUGCGUAGAGAUGUGGAGGAAUACCGAUGGCGAAGGCAGCCCCCUGGGCCAAUACUGACGCUCAUGCACGAAAGCGUGGGGAGCAAACAGGAUUAGAUACCCUGGUAGUCCACGCCCUAAACGAUGUCAACUA
This 472-nucleotide ribosomal RNA is filed under the name uncultured bacterium. Its description in RNAcentral is "partial 16S ribosomal RNA". It matches the Rfam family "Bacterial small subunit ribosomal RNA", at positions 355 to 818 of the family's 1533-position model. The record is from RNAcentral.